RNAcentral lists this ribosomal RNA (301 nucleotides) under uncultured bacterium. RNAcentral's name for it is "partial 16S ribosomal RNA". It matches the Rfam family "Bacterial small subunit ribosomal RNA", at positions 509 to 807 of the family's 1533-position model. The record is from RNAcentral.
CAGCAGCCGCGGUAAUACAGAGGGUGCAAGCGUUAAUCGGAAUUACUGGGCGUAAAGCGCGCGUAGGUGGUUUGUUAAGUUGGAUGUGAAAUCCCCGGGCUCAACCUGGGAACUGCAUCCAAAACUGGCAGGCUAGAGUAGGGCAGAGGGUGGUGGAAUUUCCUGUGUAGCGGUGAAAUGCGUAGAUAUAGGAAGGAACACCAGUGGCGAAGGCGACCACCUGGGCUCAUACUGACACUGAGGUGCGAAAGCGUGGGGAGCAAACAGGAUUAGAUACCCCAGUAGUCCCUGUCUCUUAUAC